Non-coding RNA from Plectropomus leopardus (leopard coralgrouper), 466 nucleotides. The record is from RefSeq and is a predicted model, not a curated record. NCBI's taxonomy places the organism in Eukaryota, Metazoa, Chordata, Actinopteri, Perciformes, Serranidae.
CCAAAUUAUCCACAGAGGUCUCUACCUCUCCUAAAAACAUGGACCUUGUGAUUUAAACCAGUAAAAACUGAAUAAAGCAGUUUUGCAUUACAAAUCAGUGUUUUUCCGCUGCUGCUCGUCACAGAUUGGCUGCUAACUACAACGGCUGACAUGAAAACUUGAACAGCCCUAUCUGAAGCCAGUGUUUGGUUUAUCCAUUCUGGGCUACUGUAGAAACAUAGCGGUGCAACAUGCCAAUCUCCAAAGAAAAGGACCUGCUUCCUCUAGGACUAGAACCCGCCUCCAUCGCCAUGCCGACUGUCAAUCAGCUGUGCUUCCGCUUCUGUGCACCUCUUCCCUCUCCUUGUGAAAUGCACACACACACAUACACACACUAUCUUCCCUUUGAUCCAGUGUGAAGGAGAAAGUCCGAGGCUGUGGACCACAUUACUUUCACUCAUGACAGAACUCACACACAAACAUUACA